GAUUAGGGCUUACAGAAUCGGGAAAAUGGGGGCGAUUUCGCUGUACAGAGGGAACCUCCACAGAGUUCCCGACGUGCCUCGAGAAUGGCGUAUGCCAACCCCUAAAAUCUCCCUCGGAGUGUUCAAAUCCCUUCUUCAGCGUCGCUCCAAAGCCCUCUCUCGCCUCUGUUCCUCCACUACCACCGCUAACCCUAACCCCAAUCCCAUCUCCGAACAGAAGCAACAGAGUGAAUGCCUGAAAGAGAAUGAGUCUUCUAUUGAGCCUAAACUGGAAGCGAAAAAUCCCGGUUAUUGUGGAGAAGGGCCUUCUGGUGAGGAAAAAGACCAGAAAGAUCAGAAAGAAUCGUACGGCGGCGGCGAUUUCCCUGUGAAAGUUGAUGCAGCUGAUUCGUUGCCUGAGAAAGGCUCCGGUGCGGUUGCUGGUGGUGCCAAUGAGAAAGCCUUGCCCGUCCAAACGAAACCGGCUGACCUGGCAACCCCAAAUUUGGAGGUAACCAACAAAGUAGAUUUGUUAAAUGGCAGAGAAAAGAGGAAACGGGAAGUUGAGGAUAAGUUACAAAGUCUGAAUGCAAAGAAACAUAAUCUCGUACAAGCGCUGAAGCAGAUCUUGAGUGCAGAGGAGGAAUUAAAGAGGCGAAAUAGCAUGCAAGGAAUGACAACUCGCCCAUCUGUUCCACUUCAAGUGGAUGCUGCAAAUGACACUGGGUCAUUGACUAGGCAGCCCACUCCUAGGACGGGCUCGGAGACCAAUCUUGGUGGAGAUAUGGAAGGGGGAGAAGCUGAUGACCCUUUAAACCAUAGCACUAAUCCUCGCCAUACGUUUCGGAUGAGUAGUAUGUCACCAUCUUCAGAGUCUCCUCUCAGAAGGCCUGCCUCUAAUCAACUCAACAUGGUUUCACACCCCUCGCGACCUAGUUUUGGGGUAACGGGUAGUCCAUCACGCUUUGCUCCCACAGGGCACCCUGCAAUCCUGCCCACAUUAUCUGUAUCAGGAACAAAUUACAUGGCAUCCUCUCCUUCUCCUGCAGCUUCUGGUGGUACCUCCGCUUUUAGAGAUGCUCGGCUGCCAAGUCCAUGGAAUUAGAAGGCAUCCCAUCAACAUACUUCAUGUGACGUCAAGCUCUGUUUUCAGCUCCCACCGAGGUACAAAAUCUUCUGAUCGAGCUGUGCUACCACGUUGAGUUCUGAUCGGUCAAGCACCUCUUUGUUUUGAUUGCCAAGAGCCCCUGCUACAGCCUCUCUUCAGGAAAAUGGAACUCCAGGGUUUAUUGCUAUGGUUCAACAUGUACAAAAGAAAGAUUUUAAAGAGUUGAACAAACGAGGCUGAGUUGCACUAAACUGAAAUGGCGGCCAAACUCUGGAGGACCCACGGCAUUGAAGUACCUAAUAAGAAAAUAAUAUAUCAAAAGUGUCGUGUGAUUUCUGUUGAAUACAUGGUUAUGACCAAUCGAUCCCGAGUCUUUGGCACGUUGGAGAUUGCCCAACAUAACCAAGGGUCAUGAGAUGCAAGAGCAACGGUAGAUACAAUUUUAAGACGUGUAAAUUUUGUUUUUGUUUUUGUUUUAGUUUUUUUU
This is an RNA transcript of Carya illinoinensis, 1574 nucleotides long. RefSeq lists it as uncharacterized. The record is from RefSeq and is a predicted model, not a curated record. The transcript is spliced from 6 exons. NCBI's taxonomy places the organism in Eukaryota, Viridiplantae, Streptophyta, Magnoliopsida, Fagales, Juglandaceae.